This 71-nucleotide transfer RNA is filed under the name Marmota monax (woodchuck). Its description in RNAcentral is "tRNA.Ala". It matches the Rfam family "tRNA". Rfam says of the family: Transfer RNA (tRNA) molecules are approximately 80 nucleotides in length. The record is from RNAcentral. Lineage: Eukaryota; Metazoa; Chordata; Mammalia; Rodentia; Sciuridae.
GGGGCUGUAGCUCAGUGGUAAAGCGCUUGCCUUGCAUGCAUGAGACCCUGGGUUCGAUCCCCAGCACCACA